GUUUACAGUGUUCUGUCAAUUUUCUGCUGUACAGCAUAGUGACCUAAUCUUUUUCUCACAUUAUCCUCCAUCAUGCUCCAUCACAACCAAGGCAUCCUUUUUUGACCUCUACAUUCGCCUAUCCCAAGAUCAGAUUGUUAGAUUGUAUUAGUGGGGCGAGGGGGGGUUAUUCCCAGCCCACCUAUCUUUCAAAAGGCCAGUUCUGCCUAAACACUAACAGAGGUAAUUACCAUCAUCCCUCGGCAUCCAUGGAGGAUUGGUUCCAGGACCCUACGUGGAUACCAAAAUCCUCAGAUGUUCAAGCCUCAUCGUUGGCCCGCCAUACUCCCGGGUUCUGUAUUCGAGGAUCCAAGCCAACCACAGAUCAUGAACAUAGCACACAUGUGCUAUUGGUUGAACCUGCAGAUGUGAACUCCAGAUACAGAGGGCCAACUGCACUCCGAUGUUUGCUUAUUAACUUGAACUCACAAGUGAAGAUAAUUUACCUUUGCCUUUUUAGUCCAACCAAACUCCAUUCCCACCGAAGUCCUGUUAACAUGUAUUAAAAUGCAGAAAGAACCAAAAAAUAGAUUUUAUGUAUAUAUGUAUAUACACACACAAUGCAUAUAUGUGUGUAUACAUGUGUAUACAUGUUUCCUACUUUUAGUAUAUUAGAAGAUACAUAUUUAUAUAUACUUUAAAAAUUAUAUUAAUAGAUAACAAAUGGUAAUGAAGUUUUAAGAUGCCCCAGAAACCUGUGACUGGGAAAUCUGAUCGUUACUCUGGGGAAGAGAGACAGAAGACUCCUUGCCAAGAUCUGCAGCAUCUCUCGCCAUGUUCAAAGUGCUCAUAUGCAAGAAAAAUCGGAAUUACAAAGUGAGAAAGGCAUGUCCUUAACCAACCUCCCCAGAGCUCAUCUGGGAAGAAAGCAAGUCCCUUUCCGCCUGCUUUGCAGACUUUUCUUUUGCACUCUGCAGCCAGCAUUUUCUGUCCGUCUGUCUUUUGUGAGCUGAGGCUGUUUCUUAAGGACUUAAAUCUUGUCCAUCACAAUAAAAUACAAGGCCCUGCUCUCCUCGGAAGCCCUGCACUCCCACUUCCUGCAAUCUCUCUACUCAGCAGCAAAUUUCCCUUCAUUAAAAUUAAGCCUCAUUUCUUUCUCAUGUUUUCCUGUUUUCCUCAGCAGAACUGAGUGCAAUCCUCGAACUGUUUUUCUCACAGCUUUAUUUUCUUGUCAUUUCAUAACUAAAUCUUCUUUCCCUCAAAAAACAAUUAAGAGAGUUUAUUCCACCGAUUUUGUCCCUUCUUUCUGUGGGAGAUACAGGUCAAGAAGACCUUGGGUGUAGGCACACGCACAUGUAUUGGCAGGAGGAAGGGGACAGAGAGUGUCUUACAUUAUUUCGUUUUUUGUCUUUUGUCUUUUUAGGGCCGGACCGGUGGCAUAUGGAGCAACCCAAUAAAUGGCAAAAAAUAAAUAAAUUUAAUAAAAAUAAAAAAACAAUAAAAGUUACACAGCUAGUAAUGAACAAAGCUAGGAUUCAAACACAAACUCGAAUUGUUACAAAGCAUCCCAUCUAUCUGCUUUUCACAGCAAUUAGUGAGGACAAAGUGAGGAUCCAGGAGUAAAAACAAGAGAAUGGGGAUCUGGUCACUCAGAAACCUCUAGGUUACCUUAUUCUUACAGAAGGUUCAAGAGCCAGCAAGAUAGACAAGCAAAGGAGAUGCAGCAGAACUGGGCACGUAGGGUCAGAACUCCUGAAAUUCUUUGGCCUCGCUACACCUUGGCAAGCUGGUAAGCAUCACAGGGCAGAGCUUGCCAUGGGCUCUGGCAUGAUCUAGCUGCCUAGGUUACCCCAGGCAAUGACCCUCACCUGCAGGCCUGAUAAGGACAGCCACCCUGAGCCUGGCCUGGAGCCUGGUGCCCCCUGCACAUGGUGGUCAGGCCCAGUACCACUCCCAACAUCCCUUACCCAGGAGAGAUGCUACCUGUCUAGGUUCUCCACUGGAGGGUCAGAACCACCCAGGCCCUCAUUUCAUCCUUCAUCUCAUGUCUGCUUAGGAGUUGGCCUUUUAUUCCCUCUCAUUCUAAUUUUCAAUUACUAGCUAUUUCAAAAAAAAAAAAAAAAUACCGGAAACCAAACAUCUCAUUUUAAAAAGUGCUACAGGGAGUUCCUGUCAUGGCUCAGUGGUUAGUGAACCCAACUAGCAUCCAUGAAGACUCAGGUUCAAUGCCUGGCCUUGCUCAGUGAGCUGGGGAAUCCAGCGUUGCUGUGGCUGUGGUGUAGGUCGCAGAUGUGGCUCAGUUCCCGCAUUGCUGUGGCUGUGGUGUAGGCUGGAGGUUUCAGCUCUGAUUGGACGCCUAGCCUGGGAACCUCCAUAUGCAGUGGAUGUGGUCCUAAAAAGACAAAAAAUUAAAAAAAAAUAAAAAGUGCUACAAUAGUUUCUAUUUUUUUUUAAAUUUUACUUUUAGUUAUUUCCUCUUCUUAAUCCUACAUACUUGUUUUUGAGUUUUUAUGUUAUGGGUUUAGCCUUUUGUCUUCAUCUUUCACUCUUGUGCUGCACUGCCUUCUCAAGCCCUUUAGCUUAUAUCUUCAAACCUCAUGCUAUAUUGUAUAACUCUUAACCUUUUAUCACCAUUGUGGGUGGAACUCUAUUACUUUAAAAUACCACUUUAUUUCUAUUUGCAAUUUUAUCAAUUAUAAAGAAUCCCCUCCUAUUAUAUACAUAUAAAUAUAUAUAUAAAUAUAGUAUACCUACACUUUAUAUUAUAUUAGAGUUAUUAUAUUAUUCUUCCCUUUGCUUAUUUCCUGAGUUUUUCCUAUAUUUGAUUUGUAUUUAUAAUAGCCAACAAAAAGCAGCGUGGUUAUACUGGUAAUUUUUUAAUUUAAAACAUUCCCUCAGGUUCUUUCCAGAUGUCAGGGUCAGAAUAAAACAGACUGAGCCCAGAUCUCAUGGGACAGAGCAUGAGCUACAUGAUCAGAACUAUUCUAACUGCCCUCGGGCUCUACCUGAAGGCCCCCUUAACUAGCUAAAGAACGGCCCCCACAAGCCCUCUGCCCCAAAGACUGGGAGGCCUCAGCCUAAUCCUCACCAAGCCCUAAGCCUCUGCAGAGGGCACUUUCAAUUUACUGGAACAAGUGACUUCAGACCCUCAUCCAUUAAAUAGCUUGAUAAGCAUGAAGCAUCUUGUUAGCAGUUGCGGCAAUCACCAGCAAAGAAGAUGGAUUUGAGCUGACCAAUGGCGGGCCUCUCCUUUUUCCUCUGCCCCAACUCUCCGCUGAUAACAAGGGGGCCAGGCCAAGAAGCAUGCCCGGUGGGGGCCACCUAUGAGUUUGCUGAGGAAGCAGUGAGCUGAUGGUGCAGAAAGACUCCAUGGAAUAGCCUCCCACUCUUCCUCUCCCCUUGCAUCUAUCAGAGUAUUUAUUCAACGCCAUCUGGGUCUUCAGGAAGGUUAGGCCAGGGAUGUGGCAUAAAACAAUCAAUCAAUCCCGGUUACCUAUUAGAAUUCCCUGUAGAGCUUUAGUGAAACAAGUCAAGUACAGCCCAUAUCUAGGCCAGGCCUCCAGGGAGGUCAGUUGAAUUGGGUGGGGGACAGGUGUCCACAUUCUAAAAGAUCUGCAGGGGCUCUGUUAUGCAUAAUGGUUGGGGAUCACUGGAAAUGCGGUCUCCCUUUGAGCAGGUAAGAAUAGUUCAUAGCAUGAUGAUAAAAAUAAUCCUAUUAGCUUUACCAGUAACAAUGAGAAUAGUAAAUCCAAUGACUACAACACCAAUACUACCAUUCAGCUCUAACCUGGGUCAGGGCCAGGGCUGAACAACUUAUCUUCUGAUUGACAGGCAGGGAAUCUGAGGCUCAAGGUCGGAUGACUUAUCUAUGUUUAGCGGGUUGGUCAAAGGCAGAGCCAAGGCUCAAGUCCACAGGCCUGGAAAUCUAACCCUGAACGUCCCAGCUAAAGCAGCUUUCCCCCCACCCCGGCCAGCGGGUGUGGAGGUCAGAGCCUGGCUCUGGUAAAUCAUAAAUGCCAGCAGUUCAGAGACUUGGGGCUUUAAGGCUGCCUGCGACCUCCAGCCUCCAAGGCAGACGGUUUACGAGGCUGCCCUUCAAACAUUUGGGGGCCUUUGGAUGGAGCUUGAGAAGGAGCUGUUGGAACAGGUCUGUGGAUCACGUGCUCACGGCUCUUGCCUCCUGGGUGCAGCCUGUUUGAUGCUGGACCCUCACAUCUGCAACACUCACAAGAAUUCACCUCCCAGCAUGAACUCCAGGCCUGUCAGGCUGGAGUCUGCCCCAUGUGGGAGGUUCCCUGAGCCUGCAUUUGACCUUGGCCCGGCCCUCCACCCUCCAAAUGCUGGUGGCAAUUCUGGGUCCUGCUGUGAAAUGUGCCUGCAGCAAUGGUCCCCAUGGAGAAGCAACAAUGUUGAAGCCUUACAACUGUCUUCCACGAACGGCAGGGCAGUCAUUAUCCUCUUCAUUGUCCAAAAAGGCAGCUGGGGCAAGUGGCUGUGAUCUGCGCAGUCCUACCAAUCAGCAGAGGGCCCCAGGUACCCCGCUUUCUGACAACAAACCCAGGCUCCUUUCAAUGCCUUUGAGUCGGCACUUCAUCCUCGACAGGAAGCCAGGACAUGGCCCUUGGAACAAGGGUAGGGGGACUUUGCAACAUUCAUCCUGGCUGGCUCCACACCCAUGGGUGGCUAUGCGGGCCCUGGAGUGGUGGGGAUUAAAGGAGGUCAAGUGCCUGCAGCCUCCCCAACACCUACUGUUCAAUGAGGGCCUCUGGACCAGUAGACUUUUAGUUGGAGAAUCAGUCAAUUCAACAAUUGAAUAGCACCCUCAAUUCCUCAGCACCAUCCUCAUUCUCAUUCUGAAUCUCUUUAAGAGGGAACACCUUGGACAAUCCCUCGGGCCAGGCAACAAGGGGCCACACAAUGCAGGCCAACAGCCAGGGCCCUGCCAAAGCACAGCUCCCAAGAGUCAGUCCCAUAACCUGUUGACCCCCAGGCCAGAAACUGAGAGCUGCAGAUGCUGCAUGGCUGGGCAAGUCGGCCUAUCAAGCGAAGAGAACAACUGUGGGGCUCCUGAAAGAAGGGAGUCGCCAACCCGGGCCCCUCUUUGAAAGUAGCAGGAUGCAGCUGGCAAGAGAUGCUGAUUCCUAAGGGAACCAGUAAGAGCCAGCAGGAUGCUGAACCCAGGAUGAAACCAGGGGACAAGUUCAGCAAACAAUCAAUAUUGUUAAGAAACAUCAAACCAAGGGGGCUGUUAUCAGGACCGAGGUACUGAGCAGAAAUAGAAAGCAAAGGCCAUGGAUGGAGUGGCCAGUCUGUGGGGCCUGUCUCAGAGAAUCACUAAGUGUUGGGAGUGAGGGGAGAGGGCAGGGGUCCCACCAGGAAUGAGGUGGGAGGCUAAGAGCCAAUGGGGCCCUUGGAAAACAUGGAAGCCUUGCCAGAUCUCAUGGAAUUUUUAUUUAUUUAUUUAUUUUUUCCUAGGGCUGCUCCUGCGGCAUAUGGAGGUUCCCAGGCUAGGGGUCCAAUCAGAGCUGUAGCCGCCAGCCUAUGCCAGAGCCACAGCAACAUGGGAUCCGAGCCGCGUCUGCAACCUACACCACAGCUCACGGCAACGCCAGAUCCUUAACCCACUGAGCAAGGCCAGGGAUCGAGCCCACACCCUCAUGGUUCCUAGUCAGAUUCGUUAGCCACUGAGCCACAACGGGAACUCCAGAUCUCAUGGAAUUUUUAAUUCUUUCUAAUGGUAAAAGAAAGAAAGAAACUCAUGUAGAAGGAGCUAGUGGUUCAGUGCACAGGAGACAGGAUCUGGCAGGUCUAGGGAAAAGUACUGAAGAGUGUGCAGUCCUAGAGAAGUGUUUGAUGUUACUAAGACACAGUUCACUACCUUUCAGAUGAGAGUCAAUACAGAAUCUGUUUCAUAGGGUCAGGUCAUUUAUUUGUUUAUUUAUUUAUUUUGUCUUUUAGGGCCUUAGCCGUGGCAUAUGGAGGUUCUCAGGCUGGGGGUUGAAUCAGAACUACAGCUACCAGCCUACACCACAGUCACAGCAGCACGGGAUCUGAACCAUGUCUGCAACCUACACCACA
RNAcentral lists this long non-coding RNA (6057 nucleotides) under Sus scrofa (pig). RNAcentral describes it as "lncRNA (ENSSSCG00015065520.1)". Lineage: Eukaryota; Metazoa; Chordata; Mammalia; Artiodactyla; Suidae. The record is from RNAcentral.